This 57-nucleotide ribosomal RNA is filed under the name Fusarium equiseti. RNAcentral describes it as "partial 28S ribosomal RNA". The record is from RNAcentral. Lineage: Eukaryota; Fungi; Ascomycota; Sordariomycetes; Hypocreales; Nectriaceae.
GACCUCGUAUCAGGUAGGAAUACCCUCUGAACUUAAGCAUAUGAUCGCCGGAGGAAC